GACAGGCGUAAUGGCCCAUACCUGUGGUCCUUGCUGUUAGGAAGGCUAAGGCUGGUGGAUUUCUUGAGUGGGGAGCUCUGAGCCAUGGUAGGGCUAAAGCCAGUCAGAUGUCCACAGUAAGUCUGACAUAAAUAUGGUGGGCUCCCAGGAGCGGAAAGCUACCAGGCUGCCUAAGGAGGGAUAAACUGGCCCAGGCUGGAAAAAUAGAGCAAGUUAAAGUUUCCGUGGCAUGUCACAUUGGGAUCAGACUAUGGUAGCUGCUGCAUUUCCUGCUUGGGCAAGGUAGAGACAGUCUCA
RNAcentral lists this non-coding RNA (297 nucleotides) under Phascolarctos cinereus (koala). Lineage: Eukaryota; Metazoa; Chordata; Mammalia; Diprotodontia; Phascolarctidae. The record is from RNAcentral.